GCAGCCUGAUCCAGCCAUGCCGCGUGUGUGAAGAAGGCCUUCGGGUUGUAAAGCACUUUUGUCCGGAAAGAAAAGCUUCGGGUUAAUAACCCGGAGUUAUGACGGUACCGGAAGAAUAAGCACCGGCUAACUUCGUGCCAGCAGCCGCGGUAAUACGAAGGGUGCAAGCGUUACUCGGAAUUACUGGGCGUAAAGCGUGCGUAGGUGGUUUGUUAAGUCUGAUGUGAAAGCCCUGGGCUCAACCUGGGAACUGCAUUGGAAACUGGCUGACUAGAGUGCGGUAGAGGGGUGUGGAAUUCCCGGUGUAGCAGUGAAAUGCGUAGAUAUCGGGAGGAACAUCUGUGGCGAAGGCGACACCCUGGACCAGCACUGACACUGAGGCACGAAAGCGUGGGGAGCAAACAGGAUUAGAUACCCUGGUAGUCCACGCCCUAAACGAUGCGAACUGGAUGUUGGGGGCAACUUGGCCCUCAGUAUCGAAGCUAACGCGUUAAGUUCGCCGCCUGGGAAGUACGGUCGCAAGACUGAAACUCAAAGGAAUUGACGGGGGCCCGCACAAGCGGUGGAGUAUGUGGUUUAAUUCGAUGCAACGCGAAGAACCUUACCUGGCCUUGACAUGCACGGAACUUUCCAGAG
Molecule: ribosomal RNA, 636 nt
Filed under: Lysobacter sp. So2Ps_825
Lineage: Bacteria; Pseudomonadati; Pseudomonadota; Gammaproteobacteria; Lysobacterales; Lysobacteraceae
Description: bacterial SSU rRNA
Rfam family: Bacterial small subunit ribosomal RNA
Source: RNAcentral